This 918-nucleotide ribosomal RNA is filed under the name Francisella-like endosymbiont. RNAcentral describes it as "SSU rRNA". It matches the Rfam family "Bacterial small subunit ribosomal RNA", at positions 192 to 1092 of the family's 1533-position model. Lineage: Bacteria; Pseudomonadati; Pseudomonadota; Gammaproteobacteria; Thiotrichales; Francisellaceae. The record is from RNAcentral.
GGGAGGGGAUUAAAGGUGGCUUUUGGGCUGUCGCAGAUGGAUGAGCCUGCGUUGGAUUAGCUAGUUGGUGGGGUAAGGGCCUACCAAGGCUACGAUCCAUAGCUGAUUUGAGAGGAUGAUCAGCCACAUUGGGACUGAGACACGGCCCAAACUCCUACGGGAGGCAGCAGUGAGGAAUAUUGGACAAUGGGGGCAACCCUGAUCCAGCAAUGCCAUGUGUGUGAAGAAGGCCUUAGGGUUGUAAAGCACUUUAGUUGGGGAAGAAAGCUUUGAGGUUAAUAGCCUUGAGGAAGGACGUUACCCAAAGAAUAAGCACCGGCUAACUCCGUGCCAGCAGCCGCGGUAAUACGGGGGGUGCAAGCGUUAAUCGGAAUUACUGGGCGUAAAGGGUCUGUAGGUGGUUUGUUAAGUCAGAUGUGAAAGCCCAGGGCUCAACCUUGGAACUGCAUUUGAUACUGGCAAACUAGAGUACGGUAGAGGAAUGGGGAAUUUCUGGUGUAGCGGUGAAAUGCGUAGAGAUCAGAAGGAACACCAAUGGCGAAGGCAACAUUCUGGACCGAUACUGACACUGAGGGACGAAAGCGUGGGGAUCAAACAGGAUUAGAUACCCUGGUAGUCCAUGCUGUAAACGAUGAGUACUAGCUGUUGGAGUCGGUGUAAAGGCUCUAGUGGCGCAGCUAACGCGAUAAGUACUCCGCCUGGGGACUACGGCCGCAAGGCUAAAACUCAAAGGAAUUGACGGGGACCCGCACAAGCGGUGGAGCAUGUGGUUUAAUUCGAUGCAACGCGAAGAACCUUACCUGGUCUUGACAUCCUGCGAGCUUUCUAGAGAUAGAUUGGUGCCUUCGGGAACGCAGUGACAGGUGCUGCACGGCUGUUGUCAGCUCGUGUUGUGAAAUGUUGGGUAAAGUCCCGCAA